CAGUCGCCGCGGUAAUACGAAGGGUGCAAGCGUUACUCGGAAUUACUGGGCGUAAAGCGUGUGUAGGUGGUGGUUUAAGUCUGUUGUGAAAGCCCUGGGCUCAACCUGGGAAUUGCAGUGGAUACUGGGUCACUAGAGUGUGGUAGAGGAUAGUGGAAUUUCCGGUGUAGCAGUGAAAUGCGUAGAGAUCGGAAGGAACAUCUGUGGCGAAGGCGACUAUCUGGGACAACACUGACGCUGAGGUGCGAAAGCGUGGGGAGCAAACAGGAUUAGAUACCCGCGUAGUCCCUGUCUCUUAUAC
RNAcentral lists this ribosomal RNA (301 nucleotides) under uncultured bacterium. RNAcentral's name for it is "partial 16S ribosomal RNA". It matches the Rfam family "Bacterial small subunit ribosomal RNA", at positions 509 to 807 of the family's 1533-position model. The record is from RNAcentral.